GGGCGUUUAGCUCAGUGGUAGAGCGUUUCGUUGACAUCGAAAAGGUCGGAGGUCCAAUCCCUCCAACGCCCACCA
Molecule: transfer RNA, 75 nt
Filed under: bacterium
Lineage: Bacteria
Description: tRNA-Val
Rfam family: tRNA
About the family: Transfer RNA (tRNA) molecules are approximately 80 nucleotides in length.
Source: RNAcentral